CCCUAUGGGUUGUAAACUGCUUUUAUAAGGGAAUAAAGUGAGUCUCGUGAGACUUUUUGCAUGUACCUUAUGAAUAAGGACCGGCUAAUUCCGUGCCAGCAACCGCGGUAAUACGAAAGGUCCGGGCGUUAUCCGGAUUUAUUGGGUUUAAAGGGAGCGUAGGCCGGAGAUUAAGCGUGUUGUGAAAUGUAGACGCUCAACGUCUGCACUGCAGCGCGAACUGGUUUCCUUGAGUACGCACAAAGUGGGCGGAAUUCGUGGUGUAGCGGUGAAAUGCUUAGAUAUCACGAAGAACUCCGAUUGCGAAGGCAGCUCACUGGAGCGCAACUGACGCUGAAGCUCGAAAGUGCGGGUAUCGAACAGGAUUAGAUACCCUGGUAGUCCGCACGGUAAACGAUGGAUGCCCGCUGUUGGUCUGAAUAGGUCAGCGGCCAA
RNAcentral lists this ribosomal RNA (435 nucleotides) under uncultured Bacteroidota bacterium. RNAcentral describes it as "bacterial SSU rRNA". It matches the Rfam family "Bacterial small subunit ribosomal RNA", at positions 414 to 850 of the family's 1533-position model. The record is from RNAcentral. Lineage: Bacteria; Pseudomonadati; Bacteroidota.